UGGGGAAUAUUGGACAAUGGGCGCAAGCCUGAUCCAGCCAUGCCGCGUGAGUGACGAAGGCCUUAGGGUUGUAAAGCUCUUUUGGCGGGGAAGAUAAUGACGGUACCCGCAGAAUAAGCUCCGGCUAACUUCGUGCCAGCAGCCGCGGUAAUACGAAGGGAGCUAGCGUUGUUCGGAAUCACUGGGCGUAAAGCGCACGUAGGUGGGCAGUUAAGUCGGGGGUGAAAGCCCGAGGCUCAACCUCGGAAUUGCCUCUGAUACUGGCUGUCUAGAGUUCGAGAGAGGUGAGUGGAAUUCCUAGUGUAGAGGUGAAAUUCGUAGAUAUUAGGAAGAACACCGGUGGCGAAGGCGGCUCACUGGCUCGAUACUGACACUGAGGUGCGAAAGCGUGGGGAGCAAACAGGAUUAGAUACCCCCGUAGUCCCUGAGCGGGCUGGCAAGGCGCAU
This 447-nucleotide ribosomal RNA is filed under the name uncultured bacterium. Its description in RNAcentral is "bacterial SSU rRNA". It matches the Rfam family "Bacterial small subunit ribosomal RNA", at positions 355 to 825 of the family's 1533-position model. The record is from RNAcentral.